AUUGAACGCUGGCGGCAGGCCUAACACAUGCAAGUCGAGCGGAUGAAGGGAGUUUGCUCCUGGAUUCAGCGGCGGACGGGUGAGUAAUGCCUAGGAAUCUGCCUGGUAGUGGGGGAUAACGUCCGGAAACGGGCGCUAAUACCGCAUACGUCCUGAGGGAGAAAGUGGGGGAUCUUCGGACCUCACGCUAUCAGAUGAGCCUAGGUCGGAUUAGCUAGUUGGUGGGGUAAAGGCCUACCAAGGCGACGAUCCGUAACUGGUCUGAGAGGAUGAUCAGUCACACUGGAACUGAGACACGGUCCAGACUCCUACGGGAGGCAGCAGUGGGGAAUAUUGGACAAAGGGCGAAAGCCUGAUCCAGCCAUGCCGCGUGUGUGAAGAAGGUCUUCGGAUUGUAAAGCACUUUAAGUUGGGAGGAAGGGCAGUAAGUUAAUACCUUGCUGUUUUGACGUUACCAACAGAAUAAGCACCGGCUAACUUCGUG
RNAcentral lists this ribosomal RNA (484 nucleotides) under uncultured bacterium. Its description in RNAcentral is "partial 16S ribosomal RNA". It matches the Rfam family "Bacterial small subunit ribosomal RNA", at positions 30 to 507 of the family's 1533-position model. The record is from RNAcentral.